This 391-nucleotide unclassified non-coding RNA is filed under the name soil metagenome. RNAcentral's name for it is "partial contains 5.8S ribosomal RNA, internal transcribed spacer 2, and large subunit ribosomal RNA". The stretch from base 1 to 122 matches the Rfam family "5.8S ribosomal RNA", at positions 35 to 154 of the family's 154-position model. The record is from RNAcentral.
GAUGAAGAACGCAGCGAAAUGCGAUACUUGGUGUGAAUUGCAGAAUCCCGUGAACCAUCGAGUCUUUGAACGCAAGUUGCGCCCGAAGCCAUUAGGCCGAGGGCACGCCUGCCUGGGCGUCACACGUCGUUGCCCCCCCAUCUACUCCUUCGGGAUUGCGGGGGGCGGAGGAUGGCCUCCCGUGCGCCUCGCCGCGCGGUUGGCAUAAAUGCCAAGUCCUCGGCGACGCACGCCACGACAAUCGGUGGUUGCGAAACCUCGGUUGCCCGUCGUGUGCGGUCGUCGCGCAUCGAGGGCUCGAAAAAAUUGCCGGGUUCCGGCUCGGCUUUCAACGCGACCCCAGGUCAGGCGGGGUUACCCGCUGAAUUUAAGCAUAUCAAUAAGCGGAGGA